Molecule: ribosomal RNA, 253 nt
Filed under: uncultured bacterium
Lineage: Bacteria
Description: partial 16S ribosomal RNA
Rfam family: Bacterial small subunit ribosomal RNA
Source: RNAcentral
UACGGAGGGUGCAAGAGUUAUCCGGAUUCACUGGGUUUAAAGGGUGCGUAGGAGGGCAGGUAAGUCAGUGGUGAAAUCUCCAAGCUUAACUUGGAAACUGCCGUUGAUACUAUCUGUCUUGAAUAUUGUGGAGGUGAGCGGAAUAUGUCAUGUAGCGGUGAAAUGCUUAGAUAUGACAUAGAACACCAAUUGCGAAGGCAGCUCACUACACAAUCAUUGACUCUGAGGCACGAAAGCGUGGGGAUCAAACAGG